Long non-coding RNA from Exaiptasia diaphana, 501 nucleotides. RefSeq lists it as uncharacterized. The record is from RefSeq and is a predicted model, not a curated record. NCBI's taxonomy places the organism in Eukaryota, Metazoa, Cnidaria, Anthozoa, Actiniaria, Aiptasiidae. The transcript is spliced from 3 exons.
CAAAAGCUGCUGGGAUAUCUUUUAGCCGCCAUCUUUGUACAAGUUGUUUGAAGGUUGACGAUGUGGUGGGAAAUUAUACCCCCGUUUGCCAUUAUGGUUGGAUGCAUCACGUUUACAGGUGUAGGGAUGAAGCUMUUAGAUAAAGCAUUUCACAAUGGAAAGCCCAAAAGGUAUAAUGUUGAUGAUUUUGCAAGAAGAUUGAUGGAUAGAGAUAAAGAAAUUACUGGYAAUGAAUAUGUACAAAAGGGAUUAUAAUAAUGUUAGCAGAAUACAUUAUGGUGGUGGCAGUGUACUAGUGCAAGGAUUAUUACUGUGUGAACUGAAUUCAUUGAUGAGAUCUGUUUUAUAUUUGUAAAUAAAUAUUUGGAAUCCAGUAUUGCCUUUGUCAGACAUAGAAACAUUUUUGGUGUUGACUUCAUUGAUAACCAAAGAAUUUCAUUGCUUCUUCUAAGUUAAAAUUCUGAUUAAAAGUUGUGGUUUGGAAGUCUCCUCUCAAAGGAA